This is a long non-coding RNA of Pollicipes pollicipes, 229 nucleotides long. RefSeq lists it as uncharacterized. The transcript has 3 exons. NCBI's taxonomy places the organism in Eukaryota, Metazoa, Arthropoda, Thecostraca, Pollicipedomorpha, Pollicipedidae. The record is from RefSeq and is a predicted model, not a curated record.
UGCAGGGGAGGGUCGCGGGUGGUGCACGGUGUGCGGGCAGCAGCGGCAUCGGAUCUCAUUGGUCGCAGCUCGGAGUAUGGCGAUGGGCGCGCUGCACUGUAUCGGCGCGCUGCUGCUGGUGGCGGCGGCGAGCGUCGCAGGGCAGUCCCGGCGCAUGCCAUUCCAGCAGCUCCUGCACAAAACCAUCACCGGUGUGUCCCCGGCCGGCGCCAACGUGGUGUUCUCGCCG